RNAcentral lists this ribosomal RNA (252 nucleotides) under uncultured bacterium. Its description in RNAcentral is "partial 16S ribosomal RNA". It matches the Rfam family "Bacterial small subunit ribosomal RNA", at positions 524 to 776 of the family's 1533-position model. The record is from RNAcentral.
UACGGAGGAUCCGAGCGUUAUCCGGAUUUAUUGGGUUUAAAGGGUGCGUAGGCGGCCUGGUAAGUCAGGGGUGAAAGACGGUAGCUUAACUAUCGCAGUGCCCUUGAUACUGCUGGGCUUGAAUGUAGUUGAGGUAGGCGGAAUGUGACAAGUAGCGGUGAAAUGCAUAGAUAUGUCACAGAACACCAAUUGCGAAGGCAGCUUACUAAGUAUGAUUGACGCUGAGGCACGAAAGCGUGGGGAUCAAACAGG